ACUCCUACGGGAGGCAGCAGGGGGGAAUAUUGGGCAAUGGAGGAAACUCUGACCCAGCGACGCCGCGUGCGGGAUGAAGGCCUUCGGGUUGUAAACCGCUUUCAGCAGGGAAUAAGCGCAAGUGAAGGUACCUGCAGAAGAAGCACCGGCUAACUAUGUGCCAGCAGCCGCGGUAAU
RNAcentral lists this ribosomal RNA (177 nucleotides) under uncultured bacterium. RNAcentral describes it as "partial 16S ribosomal RNA". It matches the Rfam family "Bacterial small subunit ribosomal RNA", at positions 335 to 524 of the family's 1533-position model. The record is from RNAcentral.